AUCUGGGCUACAUAAUUUCUCUAAAUCUGAGAGUUGUGAAUUUCAUAGCUUUUUGGGUUGUAGGAUAUUUGUAUCUAUACAUAAAGAAGCACCUUGGAGAAUUGACUCAGACUGAACAUGAUUUGCCUACUUUUCAUAGACAAUGUCCCCACACCCUGAAGAUCAUUUUAUCAAGUAUCUUGGUACACCUGCAUUCCGACUAUGACCCAUCUCAUGAUCUGGGGUAGAAUUUUCACUUGUAAUGCUCAGAAAGUUCUGGGUUUUUGGAGCAUUUCAAGUCCCAAAGUUCUAGACAAGAGUGGGUAAAUUCUGCCAUCAUAAUGUGGUUUCUGGGAUGCUUCUUGAGCACACACCCUUUUGAACUGCUCCAGCUGCUCCGUGAGCUCCUCCACUGCCUGUGUAUGCUUCUGCCUCAUCUCCUGGACCUGGGCCUCAUGGGACCGUGUCUCCUCAUCCAGGGCCUUCUUCAGCACCGUCACUUCCUGUUCCCUCUUGGCUCUAGGGAAAAAGAACACAGUGGAUGACGCUCAGGCCAGAGACAGGGGUUUGCCUGUGACAGUACUGUGCAAGAGGACAAGAAGUCUCCUGGUACCUAGAGCCGAAGUCCUCCUUUGCUGUGUGAGCCAUAGUGACUUGCCUAACCUCCCUGACCCCACAGUGUUAUAUCAGCUGUGAAACGGGGAGCAUGUUACCUGCUCCCAGAAUCUCUCAAGGAUGGCAAACGGGCAUAGAAAAUACAAGUUGCUCCCCACCACCCCACCAACACCAGCAGGCUCACCGUUGCCGGAACUCUUGGAAGACAAUCCUGUUGGGGAAGCCCUGACGGCAGAUGCGGAUGCCUUCCAACACGCCAUUGCACCGCAGCUGCUCCAGCACCAGAAAUGCAUCCAACUUGCCAGACUGCGGAAGUAGAAGAGGCCAGUGACCACUGGAGCAGCAAGCCCCAGACCUCAGGGCCAGAAAACAUCCUUGGCAGUCUGUGGGGUCUUCACAGGGUUUAACUGAGGUGUAAUGUCCACUGUUGCCAUCUCUGGGUUUCUAUACUUUCUUUGGUACUAUUUGUCCCAUAAUCCUCAUUGUGCUUAGUGGUGCUAGCACCCCUGGCUAGAAACUAGGAAUGUUUUCCCCUCACUGUCCUCCCCCUCACUUCCUGGACAUCACUGCCUCAUAGCUCUUACCUCCCAAGUCUCUCACAGUAGGUUUCUUAAAAAAAAAAAAAAAAAAAAGCAGAUGUGGUGUGCAUGUGUAUGCAUUAAUGUUCUUGCAUGUCUAUGAGAGCACACAUAUGUGAAUGUGUAUACACAUUUUUGAUGUGUGUGUGUAUGUGUGUUAUGUGUGUGGUGUGUGUAUGUGAUGUGUGACGUGUGUGAAUGUGUGUGUGAUAUGUGAGAUGUGUGUCUGUGCCUGUGUAUGUGUGUGAAGUGUGUGUGUUCAUGUGUAUGUGUGUACAUUUGGAGGUCUGAAGUUAGUGUCAGAAAUCAUUCUCAAUCACUCUUACAUCAUAUUCACUGACUCAUUCAUCCACUGAAACUCAAAGUUCAGUCUCUUAGCUGAACUGUUCAGGGGAGUCUCUGUCUCUCUUCUGAGAUUAAAGCUACAAGCAGGCCACCAUAUCCACUAGUAUUUAUGUGGGUUUCUGGGGUUCCAAGUCCUACUUGUGUGGAAAGCUCUUUAAAUGGUGGAGCCAUCUCCCCUAACCUACUUUUUUUUUCUUUUUUUUCUGGAGCUGAGGAUCGAGCCCAGGGCACUUGCUAGGCAAGCGCUCUACCACUGAGCUAAAUCCCCAACCCCCCCAACCUACUUUUUUGUGCCAUUGUUUCUUCUACUCAGACAACUGCAGCAUCUUCCCACUUGAUCAUCUCUCCUCAGUCCUGCCUGCCCCUUCUAGCUCCUCAUUUGGUCUAAAACAUAAUUUUGAUCAUGACCUACUGCUUAAACUCCUUCAGUGGCUUCCUACAGAUAGGAUGUCAUCACAAAACCAGUCCAUAAACCAGUCCAAUCCCAUCCCUAGCUCAUGCCACCACGUAGCAAUAUGAAACAAGGGGGCUAGAUAAUGGCUGACUCAAUAAAGCACCUGCCUUGUAAGCAUGAGACCCAUGUGAAAGGCUGAGCAUAAUGCCAUGUGCCUGUAAUCCUAGAAUUGUAAGAAGGGAGGCAGAGACAGGAGGAUUUCAAAAAGCUCAUAGACCAGCUAAACUGUCCUAUGUGGUGAAGCUUCAGGCCAGUGAGAAAGCUGUCCCACGUAGAAGUGGAAGGUGCCUAAGGACUCACAUCAGAGCUUGUUUUCUGACCUCUAUAGUACACUGUGUAUGUGCACCCUAUACCCAUAGGCAUGAACACACCCAUGCACACAAAACAAAAACAAUAUAAAAUGACCUAGCUACA
Long non-coding RNA from Peromyscus eremicus (cactus mouse), 2385 nucleotides. RefSeq lists it as uncharacterized. The record is from RefSeq and is a predicted model, not a curated record. The transcript has 2 exons. NCBI's taxonomy places the organism in Eukaryota, Metazoa, Chordata, Mammalia, Rodentia, Cricetidae.